RNAcentral lists this ribosomal RNA (492 nucleotides) under uncultured bacterium. RNAcentral's name for it is "partial 16S ribosomal RNA". It matches the Rfam family "Bacterial small subunit ribosomal RNA", at positions 28 to 507 of the family's 1533-position model. The record is from RNAcentral.
GAUGAACGCUAGCUACAGGCUUAACACAUGCAAGUCGAGGGGAAACGGCAUUGAGUGCUUGCACUCUUUGGACGUCGGCCGGCGCACGGGUGAGUAACGCGUAUCCAACCUUCCCAUUACUGUGGGAUAACCUGCCGAAAGGCAGACUAAUACCGCAUAGUCUUCGAUGACGGCAUCAGAUUUGAAGUAAAGAUUUAUCGGUAAUGGAUGGGGAUGCGUCUGAUUAGCUUGUUGGCGGGGUAACGGCCCACCAAGGCUACGAUCAGUAGGGGUUCUGAGAGGAAGGUCCCCCACAUUGGAACUGAGACACGGUCCAAACUCCUACGGGAGGCAGCAGUGAGGAAUAUUGGUCAAUGGACGGAAGUCUGAACCAGCCAAGUAGCGUGCAGGAUGACGGCCCUAUGGGUUGUAAACUGCUUUUGUAUGGGGAUAAAGUUAGGGACGUGUCCCUAUUUGCAGGUACCAUACGAAUAAGGACCGGCUAAUUCCGUG